Molecule: ribosomal RNA, 714 nt
Filed under: uncultured bacterium
Lineage: Bacteria
Description: bacterial SSU rRNA
Rfam family: Bacterial small subunit ribosomal RNA
Source: RNAcentral
AGGUGCUUUGCACCUAGUGGCGAACGGGUGAGUAACACGUAUCUAACCUACCUUUUAGUGGGGGAUAACAGUUGGAAACGACUGCUAAUACCGCAUACGACACCAUUAUGGCAUCAGAAGGUGUUAAAAGGCCCGUUUGGGUCGCUAGAAGAUGGGGAUGCGGCGUAUUAGCUAGUAGGUGGGGUAAUUGCCCACCUAGGCAAUGAUACGUAGCCGAACUGAGAGGUUGAUCGGCCACAUUGGGACUGAGAUACGGCCCAGACUCCUACGGGAGGCAGCAGUAGGGAAUUUUUCACAAUGGACGAAAGUCUGAUGAAGCAAUGCCGCGUGAGUGAUGACGGUCUUCGGAUUGUAAAGCUCUGUUGUAAGGGAAGAAUAGGUAAAAGAGGAAAUGCUUUUAUUUUUGACGGUACCUUACCAGAAAGCCACGGCUAACUAUGUGCCAGCAGCCGCGGUAAUACAUAGGUGGCAAGCGUUAUCCGGAUUUAUUGGGCGUACAGGGUGCGUACGCGGUUCGAUAAAGUUUGAGGUUAAAUCCCGGGGCUCAACCCCCGGUUCGCCUUGAAAACUGUCUUACUAGAAUACAGGAGAGGUAGAUGGAAUUUCCAUGUGUAGCGGUGAAGUGCGAAGAUAUAUGGAGGAACACCAGUGCCGUAGGCGGUCUACUGACCUGUUAUUGACGCUGAGCUCAAAAGCCUGGGCAGCAAAUAGGAU